AUGGCGACGCCGCAACCCGCGGGGCUGACGCUGCGGCCAGGAGUAGUGUUCAGGCCCAGCGGCCGCCAGCUCAUCACGCUGUACCUCGGCCGCAACGCGCUCCGCGGCGAGCUCCCCGACGCCGCCGUCAUCCCCGGCGGCUGCGUCGUCACGGCGGGCGUGGACGUCUUCUCCGCGAGCCCCGGCGCGCUCCCCUUCCAGGCGAGCCACAGGGGGGCGCACGGGGAGGUGUGGGGCUACUUCGCCGCCGCGGCCCCGACCGCCGACAGCGCCCAGCCUGCGCCGGGCGGGUGCUGGGUGCGGCAGGGCGCCGAGAAGCGGUACGAGCUCAAGGGGGAGGCGCUCGGCUACCGGAGCAGGUGCGCGUUCUACGCCACGCGGGCGGUGCGGGCUCGGGUGGUGUGGACGCCGACGCGGUGGCUGAUGAAGGAGUACCGCCUCGACAAGGGCGCCGCCGUCUUCCGCAGCAAGCUGCCCGACCACCCCAACGCCAACAUGGAUUUCGUGGUCCGCAAGGUCUUCACCAAGCCGGCGGUUCCCGUGCCGCCGCCUGCCCGCUCCGGCUUGGUGGUCCGGCGGGUAGGAGGCAGCGUUCCGUCGCGCCAAGCCCAACCAACCCGGGCGGCGUUCGUCAAGGCCCGAGGGGGCGCUCCACCGCUACUGCCGUGUGCCCGCCCUGGCGAGGCGCUCCGGCCAGGAGGAAGCCCCCUUCCGCCGCGCUCGGACCGACCACCUAAGGUCAUCGCGAAGCAGGUGAUCCUUGCCCCGCCUGCGCACUCCGGCGUAAACGAGGACGCCGGCAACCUCAACGACAAUGCCAUGUCGUGGACGCGCGUCGGCGGGGAGUACAACUACAACUACAAGGUACCCAGCGGCCGCCAGAUCAUCGUCGAGUACCUCGGCCCCAAGGCGACCACUGGCAAGAUCGCCGACCGCGCCGCCCCGGGCUCCGUCGCGGAGGGCGUGGACAUCUUCGCGGCGAGCCCGGACGCGCUCCCCUUCCCGCCCAGCCACAGGAAGCAGGGCGGGGAGGCGUGGGGCUACUUCUUCGCGGCGAAGCCCGCCAGCAGCAUGCGGCGGGCGCCCGGCGGGUGGUGGAUGCAGUACGGCGACGCGAAGGGGUACGAGUUCCGCGGGGAGGUGUACGCCCGCCACCGCAGGUUCGCGUUCCGCGCGGCGCGGGCGGACGACGGCGGCGGCAAGGUGACGUGGGAGCAGACGCGGUGGCUGAUGAAGGAGUACGCGCUCCACAAGGGCGCGUCCGCCUUCCGCGGCGCGACAGCCGGCCCGGCCGGUGCCAACAUGGACCUCGUGGUCUACAAGGUGUUCACGAAGCCGGUGGUCACCCCGCCGCCGCCAGCCCGCUCGAGCGAGGCGGAGAACCAGGCGAGGAAGGGCUCAGAUGCGCCCAGGAUUGUUUUCGACAUUGAUUUGAACAACUAA
RNAcentral lists this ribosomal RNA (1443 nucleotides) under Triticum aestivum (bread wheat). RNAcentral describes it as "partial small subunit ribosomal RNA". Lineage: Eukaryota; Viridiplantae; Streptophyta; Magnoliopsida; Poales; Poaceae. The record is from RNAcentral.